Molecule: ribosomal RNA, 253 nt
Filed under: uncultured bacterium
Lineage: Bacteria
Description: partial 16S ribosomal RNA
Rfam family: Bacterial small subunit ribosomal RNA
Source: RNAcentral
UACGUAGGGUGCGAGCGUUAAUCGAAAUUACUGGGCGUAAAGUGUGCGCAGGCGGCAGAGCAAGUCGAGUGUGAAAGCCCCGGGCUUAACUUGGGAAUUGCGCUCGAAACUACUUUGCUGGAGUGUGGCAGAGGAAGGUGGAAUUCCACGUGUAGCGGUGAAAUGCGUAGAGAUGUGGAGGAACACCAAUGGCGAAGGCAGCCUUCUGGGCCAACACUGACGCUCAUGCACGAAAGCGUGGGGAGCAAACAGG